This 495-nucleotide ribosomal RNA is filed under the name uncultured bacterium. Its description in RNAcentral is "partial 16S ribosomal RNA". It matches the Rfam family "Bacterial small subunit ribosomal RNA", at positions 28 to 507 of the family's 1533-position model. The record is from RNAcentral.
GACGAACGCUGGCGGCGUGCCUAAUACAUGCAAGUCGAACGCUGAAGGAGGAGCUUGCUUCUCUGGAUGAGUUGCGAACGGGUGAGUAACGCGUAGGUAACCUGCCUGGUAGCGGGGGAUAACUAUUGGAAACGAUAGCUAAUACCGCAUAAGAGUAGAUGUUGCAUGACAUUUGCUUAAAAGGUGCAAUUGCAUCACUACCAGAUGGACCUGCGUUGUAUUAGCUAGUUGGUGGGGUAACGGCUCACCAAGGCGACGAUACAUAGCCGACCUGAGAGGGGGCUCGGCCACACUGGGACUGAGACACGGCCCAGACUCCUACGGGAGGCAGCAGUAGGGAAUCUUCGGCAAUGGACGGAAGUCUGACCGAGCAACGCCGCGUGAGUGAAGAAGGUUUUCGGAUCGUAAAGCUCUGUUGUAAGAGAAGAACGAGUGUGAGAGUGGAAAGUUCACACUGUGACGGUAUCUUACCAGAAAGGGACGGCUAACUACGUG